This 205-nucleotide long non-coding RNA is filed under the name Elaeis guineensis (African oil palm). RNAcentral's name for it is "long non-coding RNA (EGUI_LNC081433)". The record is from RNAcentral. Lineage: Eukaryota; Viridiplantae; Streptophyta; Magnoliopsida; Arecales; Arecaceae.
UUUCAGUUAAAGAGAUGAAUUAUACGAUAACCAUAUACCAAUAGAUUCUUGAAUGUUGCUUUGUAAUCUUUCGACUUAUCUGGACGUCGGCUACCAUUGCUAGAUGAUCACUUUGAUUGGUAUAGGGAGAUUAUUUCUGUGCUACCAGCUUAGGUUCGAACCUAUGAGGUCACAUUUAAAAGAAGUCUCUAACUAAUCAUGUGGC